Molecule: ribosomal RNA, 253 nt
Filed under: uncultured bacterium
Lineage: Bacteria
Description: partial 16S ribosomal RNA
Rfam family: Bacterial small subunit ribosomal RNA
Source: RNAcentral
UACGUAGGGUGCAAGCGUUAAUCGGAAUUACUGGUCGUAAAGCGUGCGCAGGCGGCUUUGCAAGACAGAUGUGAAAUCCCCGGGCUCAACCUGGGAACUGCAUUUGUGACUGCAUGGCUUGAGUGCGGCAGAGGGGGAUGGAAUUCCGCGUGUAGCAGUGAAAUGCGUAGAUAUGCGGAGGAACACCGAUGGCGAAGGCAAUCCCCUGGGCCUGCACUGACGCUCAUGCACGAAAGCGUGGGGAGCAAACAGG